AUUUGUAUCACUCUAUAUAAACGGCUGUGUGCAGUUAUUAAAUGGCUUGGCUACUAGAAACUAUAUUAGUGUGUGGCCUCAUCCCUCACCGCACCUCGGCUGAUUAUUUCUUUCCUGGGGCCCUCGGACUUGUUGUUUGACAACAAUUGGUGCCCGAACAGCAACUGAACCUUGGAGGAAUAUCGAACAGGGAUCCUGGAGUAAGAUCGAACACAGACCUUGGAGUAACAUCGAACAGCAAAGGAACCUUGGAGUAAGAUGGAGCUAAGGCAGCGGUGGCAGACAGUUGGCGCCGGACACGCAGGAAAUUGUCACUAUCACCUUCGGAGAAUCCGUUGUUUGUGGCGGCGGCACUACGACCCCCCGCUGAACGGCCGCCCGUAGCCUCCAGAGGCCCGAGCCCGGACCGCGCCGCUUUCACCGCCCCCCCACAACUGCCGGCCCGAGCCCGGACCGUGCCGCGGCCACCGCCUCAGCCGCCUCCAACCGGUGCUCUCCAUGGGAGUGCAGGGCUUCCAGGACUACAUCGAGAAGCACUGCCCUAGCGCUGUGGUCCGUCGAUCUGCAAAAGCUGGCGUGGGGCAGCCUAGUGGAGGGGAGGAGCGGAGAGCGGCGGCAGCCUCCACAGACCUCUUCUCUUUUGAGAAGCAAGUAUCUGGAAGGUUAUCAAUCCACAGAACUGGAGUAUUAACUCUUUAAUUACCCAUGAUGCACAUGAUGUUAUGAUGUGGAAUGCCAGUAGCAAAAUUACAAAACCAUGACACAGUCUUAACUGGAUUGUCCUAUCACAUCCACCCUAUAGUCAAAAUUUGGUGCUUUCUGACUUCCAUUUGUUCAGUCUGAUGAAAGAUGGACUACGUGACCAACAUUUUUCUAGCAAUGAUGUUGUCAUAGUGUCUAUGAAACAGUGGUUCACUGUGUUCAUCACUGGUGAAAAUGCAUAGGUAAUGUCGGUGAUUAUGCUGAAAAAUAGUGUUCUGUAGCUGAGAAUUUGCUCUAUCAAAUAGUAAUAUUGUUCUUUAUGUAUCUGUUGUGGUUUCCAUUAUUUUCAGAGUGACUUACGUGGAUUUAUUCUCAUACUUGAGCAAUGAGUAUCAGGCAGUUAAUAAGCACAAAAAUUUGUCUUUGAAUAUUUGCUAUGGAAAAGAGAAAAAUAUGGAUUAUAAUGAAAGACCUGUAUACUUACGGGUAUUUCUGCUGUUGUUAUUUCUAUAGUUGUUAUUUCUUGAAUAGUAUAGGACCUAUAAUCCUUCUGUAGCAUUUUAAAAAUAUUUGAUAUUAAAAAUAAUAACCCAUAACAAGAUUUACAAUGCAAUUAUAGACUUUAUUAUUGAUUGCUGGGAACUUGCUCUUGUUGAAUUACACUAAAGCUACAUCAUUUUCAGUUUUUGAUGUCUAAUACAUUAUAUUGUGCAAAGGUAGGUUGUUCCUCAUUUGAAAUGUAGAUGCUUUGUGAGUUAGAGGCAGAGAAACUUGCACUUACACAAAUGUGAAAGUCUGCCUUGGCACAGUUUUGAGUCAUCUGCUCUAGCUGACCCUAGUUGAGCACGGGACUUGGAUUAAAUGGCAUCAAGAGGUCCCUUCUAACUUAAACUAUUUUGUGAUUCUGUGAAAUAGACAGGAAGUCUACAGCAGUACUGGAUAAUGACUUAAUCCACUAACGCAUGUAUUUACAACAGAAAAAACAUAUAUAUAUUGGAAGUCAAAAGGAUUUGUUUGAGACAAGUGUAUAAAAAUCCUCAGCAGCAAUAGUAUAGAAAAAAAAAAUAAUGCUAAAAAGAAAAGGAUGUUAAAGCAAAUCCUUUUUUCCUGUAGGUAUCUGUAGCUUUUUAUUUUUAUCUCCCAGUGAUAAGUAUGCCUUUCUCUGGAAAGUGUAUGAAAGUCACUUGGAAUGUGAAAUGUACA
RNAcentral lists this long non-coding RNA (1905 nucleotides) under Gallus gallus (chicken). The record is from RNAcentral. Lineage: Eukaryota; Metazoa; Chordata; Aves; Galliformes; Phasianidae.